This 610-nucleotide ribosomal RNA is filed under the name uncultured euryarchaeote. RNAcentral describes it as "bacterial SSU rRNA". It matches the Rfam family "Archaeal small subunit ribosomal RNA", at positions 124 to 736 of the family's 1478-position model. The record is from RNAcentral. Lineage: Archaea; Methanobacteriati; Methanobacteriota.
GGAUAACCUUGGGAAACUGAGGAUAAUACUGAAUAAGGAAUUACUACUGGAAUUGUGUUUUCCCUGAAACGCAAGGUCUAAGGAUAGGUUGGCGGCAGAUUAGGUUGUUGGUGGGGUAAAGGCCCACCAAGCCGAAGAUCUGUAGGGGCCUUGAGAGAGGUAGCCCCGAGAAGGACACUGAGAUACUGGUCCUAGCCCUACGGGGUGCAGCAGGCGCGAAACCUUUACAAUGCACGCAAGUGUGAUAAGGGAACCCUAAGUGCUUUGCUCGCGCAAGGCUUUUGCCAAGAGUAAAUAUCUUGGCGAAUAAGUGGUGGGAAAGACUGGUGCCAGCAGCCGCGGUAACACCAGCGCCACGAGUGGCAAUCGCAAUUAUUGGGUCUAAAGCGUCCGUAGCCGGCCCGAUCAGUCUUUUGUGAAAUUGCUGUACUUAAUACAGCAGCGUGCAAAAGAUACUGUCAGGCUUGGAACUGGUAGGAGUAAGGAGUAUUUAAGGGGGAGCGGUAAAAUGCUAUAAUCCCUUGAAGACCUACCUGUGGCGAAAGCGCCUUACUAGGACAGAUUCGACGCUGAGGGACGAAAGCCAGGGGAGCAAACCGGAAUUAGAUAC